RNAcentral lists this long non-coding RNA (385 nucleotides) under Homo sapiens (human). RNAcentral's name for it is "non-protein coding lnc-FSIP1-4:3". The record is from RNAcentral. Lineage: Eukaryota; Metazoa; Chordata; Mammalia; Primates; Hominidae.
CUGGGUAGGAACGCUGCUGCUGGUUGGCUGGUAGGAGGUGCUGCAGAGAGACCCCUACCUGACUGUCAUCCUCUCUCAGUGGCGAGUCCAUCUAGUUCAGACUCAGACAGGUGGAAGAAGUCAACUCCUAACUAGGGUAUAAUGAAGCAUGAUGGAAGUAUUUGACCCAGCGGCUCUUCUAUACCCAGGAGGCCCUGACUGCCACAUUCACCAGUUGAUUUUCCAGGGAACAUAAUCAGAGGCAGAAUCGUCUGGUGGUUAAAAGUACAAUCUGGAGUUAGACUGCUUGAUUUUCAAUCCCAGCUCUUCCACUCAUCAGCUUUGUUAUCUUAGGGCCAGGUAACUAGAUUGAAGCAGAGUCCAUGAAGAACUAACCAUGCCUCAC